This 393-nucleotide long non-coding RNA is filed under the name Ananas comosus (pineapple). Its description in RNAcentral is "long non-coding RNA (ACOM_LNC042457)". The record is from RNAcentral. Lineage: Eukaryota; Viridiplantae; Streptophyta; Magnoliopsida; Poales; Bromeliaceae.
AUUUUGCGUCUCGAUCGGAUUUGAGUUGAUCAACUCUUGUCUUCUCCCUUGAUCAGCAUCUGGUCCAAACUUGAUCCGCAUCGCAUCAACUCUUGAAUACAACGAAUCCCUCUGGAACCUAAACUACCCUUUUGCCUUCUUAAUUUUACAACAAUAACUUUACAACCCAUAAAAUUAAUGAGACACGCAGGUCUCCAAAUUACAUAAUUUAAUUGGCACGCGCAGGCACCAAAAAAAAAUAUAAUCUAAUACUGGAUCCUUAUCAAAUCACAAAAAUUCACAUCAUCACAUGAUACAUGCACAUCACAAGGUCGCUAUCCAUGAUCAUCACCUCAUAUACAUCACAUGCAUAUAAUAUUAAAUUCUCUAAUUCGAAUUCUAGUUAAUUGGGAU